This 301-nucleotide ribosomal RNA is filed under the name uncultured bacterium. RNAcentral describes it as "bacterial SSU rRNA". It matches the Rfam family "Bacterial small subunit ribosomal RNA", at positions 28 to 329 of the family's 1533-position model. The record is from RNAcentral.
GACGAACGCUGGCGGCGUGCUUAACACAUGCAAGUCGAGCGGUAAGGCCCCUUCGGGGUACGACGAGCGGCGAACGGGUGAGUAACACGUGGGUGACCUGCCCUCAGCUCUGGGAUAAGCCUGGGAAACGUGGGUCUAAUACCGGAUAUGACUCCAUGACGCAUGUCGUGGGGUGGAAAGCCUUGUGCGGCUGGGGAUGGGCCCGCGGCCUAUCAGCUUGUUGGUGGGGUGAUGGCCUACCAAGGCGACGACGGGUAGCCGGCCUGAGAGGGCGACCGGCCACACUGGGACUGAGACACGG